Molecule: ribosomal RNA, 323 nt
Filed under: uncultured bacterium
Lineage: Bacteria
Description: bacterial SSU rRNA
Rfam family: Bacterial small subunit ribosomal RNA
Source: RNAcentral
AACGAACGCUGGCGGCACGCUUAAUACAUGCAAGUCGUACGAGAAAGUUUCCUUCGGGAGGCGAUUAAAGUGGCGCACGGGUGAGUAACACGUAGGUGACCUACCUUAUAGUGGGGGAUAACAGUUAGAAAUAGCUGCUAAUACCGCAUGAGCAGAGCAACUUUGGAAGGAGCUCUAGAAAGAUGGCCUCUACUUGUAAGCUAUCGCUAUAAGAUGGGCCUGCGGGCCAUUAGCUUGUUGGUGGGGUAAUGGCCUACCAAGGCGACGAUGGCUAGCCGGUCUGAGAGGAUGAUCGGCCACACUGGAACUGAGACACGGUCCAG